AGGGCGGCGAGCCAGCGAUGGGGAGCGAAUCUCAGAAAGUACGUCUAAGUCCGGAUUGGAGUCUGCAACUCGACUCCAUGAAGUCGGAAUCGCUAGUAAUCGCAAAUCAGAAUGUUGCGGUGAAUACGUUCCCGGGCCUUGUACACACCGCCCGUCACACCAUGGGAGUGGGUUGUACCAGAAGUAGAUAGCUUAACCGAAAGGGGGGCGUUUACCACGGUAUGAUUCAUGACUGGGGUGAAGUCGUAACAAGGUAACCGUAGGGGAACCUGCGGUUGGAUCACCUCCUUA
This 291-nucleotide ribosomal RNA is filed under the name Mannheimia haemolytica D38. RNAcentral describes it as "partial 16S ribosomal RNA". It matches the Rfam family "Bacterial small subunit ribosomal RNA", at positions 1243 to 1533 of the family's 1533-position model. Lineage: Bacteria; Pseudomonadati; Pseudomonadota; Gammaproteobacteria; Pasteurellales; Pasteurellaceae. The record is from RNAcentral.